GGGGUUGACUUGGCUUCGACAGGAGCAGGUGAUUCCUGGUUGCAUGUCGGUUUGGGCAUAUCGUUAAUCUGCCCACAAGCAAUAAACGCAAACAAUACAAAUUACCGCCCAGCUUACGCAUACGCAGCGUAAGUUUAACCGAACAUACUUGGGCUGCUCUCACCGCUGACGCCAUAUAGGCGGAUUUUGAGAGUAUCAUAACCUUUAUGGCUAUACUUACAGGUUGCCUCACCUGUAAGCGAAUCUUUGAGGCUCGCACGGUAUAGCUUUGGACAUUGCGCGAAACCGUGUUAAAUUUAGCAAUGUCGUCUAAGCAUGUAGACGCCAGGAGUUGCUUGUUUCUGGACAGGGGUUCGAUUCCCCUCAACUCCACCA
This 375-nucleotide transfer-messenger RNA is filed under the name Hydrogenimonas thermophila. Its description in RNAcentral is "Standard tmRNA". It matches the Rfam family "transfer-messenger RNA". From Rfam's summary of the family: Bacterial tmRNA, also known as 10Sa RNA or SsrA, is named for its dual tRNA and mRNA-like properties. Its role is to liberate the mRNA from a stalled ribosome. The record is from Rfam by way of RNAcentral. Lineage: Bacteria; Pseudomonadati; Campylobacterota; Epsilonproteobacteria; Campylobacterales; Hydrogenimonadaceae.